Molecule: ribosomal RNA, 435 nt
Filed under: uncultured bacterium
Lineage: Bacteria
Description: partial 16S ribosomal RNA
Rfam family: Bacterial small subunit ribosomal RNA
Source: RNAcentral
UGGGGAAUUUUGGACAAUGGGGCGAAAGCCUGAUCCAGCAAUGCCGCGUGUGUGAAGAAGGCCUUCGGGUUGUAAAGCACUUUUGUCCGGAAAGAAAUCCUCUGGGUUAAUACCUCGGGGGGAUGACGGUACCGGAAGAAUAAGCACCGGCUAACUACGUGCCAGCAGCCGCGGUAAUACGUAGGGUGCAAGCGUUAAUCGGAAUUACUGGGCGUAAAGCGUGCGCAGGCGGUUUUGUAAGACGGAUGUGAAAUCCCCGGGCUUAACCUGGGAACUGCAUUCGUGACUGCAAGGCUAGAGUAUGGCAGAGGGGGGUUAGAAUUCCACGUGUGAGCAGUGGAAAUGCGUAGAGAUGUGGAGGAAUACCGAUGGCGAAGGCAGCCCCCUGGGCCAAUACUGACGCUCAUGCACGAAAGCGUGGGGGAGCAAACAGGA